GAAGGUCCCAAGCGUUAUCCGGAUUUAUUGGGUUUAAAGGGUGCGUAGGCGGGCUAUUAAGUCAGUGGUGAAAGCCCCAAGCUUAACUUGGGAACUGCCAUUGAUACUGAUGGUCUUGAGUACAUUUGAGGUGGGCGGAAUGUGUCAUGUAGCGGUGAAAUGCUUAGAUAUGACACAGAACACCGAUUGCGAAGGCAGCUCACUAAACUGUAACUGACGCUGAGGCACGAAAGCGUGGGGAGCAAACAGGAUUAGAUACCCUGGUAGUCCACGCCCUAAACGAUGAUCACUCGAUGUGUGCGAUAUACUGUACGCGUCUGAGCGAAAGCAUUAAGUGAUCCACCUGGGGAGUACGACCGCAAGGUUGAA
This 369-nucleotide ribosomal RNA is filed under the name uncultured bacterium. Its description in RNAcentral is "bacterial SSU rRNA". It matches the Rfam family "Bacterial small subunit ribosomal RNA", at positions 527 to 898 of the family's 1533-position model. The record is from RNAcentral.